AAUUUAUGAACAACUCUACUUCUUUAUACAAACCAUCCAACCAACAUUCAUCUCUCUCCUCAGCACAUUCACCAAGUUUCAGCAUCUAUGCCAGAGGUAAAACUAAGGUAUGCUGUUGUUACUUGGGCAAACAAAGGGAUAGGAUUGGAGACUGUGAACCAGUUGGCCUCAAGUGGAGUCAAGGUGUUGCUCACAGCCAGAGAUGAGGACAGAGGCCAUGAAGCCAUUGAGAGAUUGAAAGAGUGUGGUCUCUCUGAUUUGGUGAUUUUCACCAGCUUGAUGUGACUGACUCUGCUAAUAUUGUUUCACUAGUAGUUUGUCAAGACACAGUUUGGGAGACUUGAUAUCUUGGUGAACAAUGCCGGAAUCAGUGGUGUCAUUCCAUAUGAAAUGGAAGAAUCAACAAUUAACUGGAAGGAACUGACUCAAACUUGUGAGAUGGCAGAAAAGUGCCUAACAACAAACUACUAUGGUGCAAAGGAAACAACUGAGGCAUUUCUUCCCCUUCUUCAAUUAUCCAACUCACCUAGGAUUGUCAAUGUUUCCUCCCAAGCAGGAUUGUUAAAGGGGAUAGCAAACGAAUUGGUUAAAGGGGUGUUUGAUGAUGCUGAAAAUCUUACAGAAGAGAGAAUAGAUGAGGUACUCAAAGUUUAUCAAAGACUUAAAAGAAGGCUCACUUGAAAACAGAGGUUGGCCAACCUUUUUGUCUGCUUAUAUGGUCUCAAAAGCAGCCAUGAAUUCAUACACAAGGAUUCUAGCCAAGAAGCACCAAAACUUUUGCAUUAAUUGUGUGUGUCCUGGUUUUGUGAAAACAGACAUAAACAGAAACACUGGCUUCUUAUCCGUUGACCAAGGUACUGCUAGUGUUGUGAGAUUAUCACUGUUGCCUGAUGGUUCCCCUUCUGGCCUCUUCUAUUGUAGGCAAGAACUGUCAAACUUUUUGCUACCAAAUCACACUUGUGACUUGACAAAUGAAUGGCAAAAGCAAUUGCUUGUCUUAUUUGAAUAUUUCCUACGUUCUUCAUGCACCCACGUCCCCACUUGCGCCAGUGUGCCACCACCACUACAAAAUUUGUACGUGUCAAAAAGAAUUAAAGUUGUGGAAAAAGGACAGCAUCAACUAACCUUGAUUUUAUUUGCGACCCUUUUUUUUUUGAGAAAACUGCACCUCUAUUUUCUAUACAUAUUAUCCAAUAUAUUUGGACUCUCUCUCUUCUUCACAUGCUCAUUGGCUUUCAGCAUAUCUAUGGCAGAGGCAAAACUAAGGUAUGCUGUUGUUACUGGAGCAAACAAAGGGAUAGGAUUUGAGACUGUAAAAGAGCUGGCCUCAAAUGGAGUCAAGGUGGUGCUCACAGCAAGAGAUGAGAAAAAAGGCCAUGAAGCCUUUGAGAGAUUGAAAGAGUGUGGUUUCUCUGAUUUGGUUAUUUUUCACCAGCUUGAUGUCACUGAAUCUGCUAGUAUUUCUUCACUAGUAGAGUUUGUUAAGACCAAUUUUGGGAAGCUUGAUAUAUUGGUGAACAAUGCAGGAAUCAGUGGUGCCAAUCUGGAUGAAGUGGAAGGAUCAACAUUUAAAUGGGAGGAACUGACUCAAACCAAUGAGAUGACUGAAAAGUGCCUAACAACAAACUACUAUGGUGCAAAGAAAACAACUGAGGCAUUUCUUACCCUUCUGCAGUUAUCCAAUUCACCUAGGAUUGUUAAUGUUUCCUCCCAAGCAGGGUUGUUAAAGAACAUAUCAAACGAAUGGGCUAAAGGGGUGCUUGAUGAUGCUGAUAAUCUUACAGAAGAGAGAAUAGACGAGGUACUCAAAGAGUUUAUCAAAGACUUCAAAGAAGGUUCAUUAGCAACCAAAGGGUGGCCAACCUUCUUGUCUGCAUAUAUUGUCUCAAAAGCAGCCAUGAAUUCAUACACAAGGAUUCUAGCCAAGAAGCACCAAAACAUGUGCAUUAACAGUGUGUGCCCUGGUUUUGUCAAAACAGACAUAAACAAAAACACUGGCAUCUUAACCGUUGACCAAGGUGCUGCUAGUGUUGUGAAAUUGGCACUGUUGCCUGAUGGUUCCCCUUCGGGCCUCUUCUAUAUUAGGCAAGAAUUGUCAAACUUCUGAAUGAUUUUAAAUGUAAUGCAAAUACAUUCAUGCAGACACAUGAAUUAACACAUGACAGAAUGUUCCUCUUGCCCGUAUUUUUUACCCUUAUGCAAGUACGACCAUUAUCUUCUAUUCUUGCUAGGAAUUGUCAAAGUUCUUAUUUGUCAUCUUCUGAUGAAAUUUAAUUUCUAGAACAUGAGAUGAACUAUUCUUGGUUUAA
Glycine soja is the source of this 2309-nucleotide RNA transcript. RefSeq lists it as uncharacterized. The transcript is spliced from 10 exons. Lineage: Eukaryota; Viridiplantae; Streptophyta; Magnoliopsida; Fabales; Fabaceae. The record is from RefSeq and is a predicted model, not a curated record.